This 425-nucleotide ribosomal RNA is filed under the name uncultured bacterium. Its description in RNAcentral is "bacterial SSU rRNA". It matches the Rfam family "Bacterial small subunit ribosomal RNA", at positions 354 to 796 of the family's 1533-position model. The record is from RNAcentral.
GUGGGGAAUAUUGGACAAUGGGCGAAAGCCUGAUCCAGCCAUGCCGCGUGAGUGAUGAAGGCCUUAGGGUUGUAAAGCUCUUUCAGUAGGGAAGAUAAUGACGGUACCUACAGAAGAAGCCCCGGCUAACUUCGUGCCAGCAGCCGCGGUAAUACGAAGGGGGCUAGCGUUGUUCGGAUUUACUGGGCGUAAAGCGCACGUAGGCGGAUUGUUCAGUUAGAGGUGAAAUCCUGGAGCUCAACUCCAGAACUGCCUUUAAGACUGCCAGUCUAGAGUCCAGAAGAGGUGAGUGGAACUCCUAGUGUAGAGGUGGAAUUCGUAGAUAUUAGGAAGAACACCAGUGGCGAAGGCGGCUCACUGGUCUGGUACUGACGCUGAGGUGCGAAAGCGUGGGGAGCAAACAGGAUUAGAUACCCCUGUAGUCC